This 253-nucleotide ribosomal RNA is filed under the name uncultured prokaryote. Its description in RNAcentral is "partial 16S ribosomal RNA". It matches the Rfam family "Bacterial small subunit ribosomal RNA", at positions 524 to 776 of the family's 1533-position model. The record is from RNAcentral.
UACGAAUCGUCCAAACGUUGUUCGGAUUCACUGGGUUUAAAGGGCGCGUAGGCGGUGCGUUAAGUCGGCGGUGAAAUACUUCGGCUCAACCGGAGAAUUGCCGCUGAAACUGGCGUGCUCGAGGGAGGUAGAGGUGCGUGGAACUUCCGGUGGAGCGGUGAAAUGCGUAGAUAUCGUAAGGAAGACCAGUGGCGAAGGCGGGUCUCUGGACAGUUCCUGACGCUGAGGCACGAAGGUCAGGGGAGCCAACGGG